Molecule: unclassified non-coding RNA, 346 nt
Filed under: soil metagenome
Description: partial contains 5.8S ribosomal RNA, internal transcribed spacer 2, and large subunit ribosomal RNA
Rfam family: 5.8S ribosomal RNA (bases 1-120)
Source: RNAcentral
GAUGAAGAACGUAGCGAAACGCGAUAAGUAAUGUGAAUUGCAGAAUUUAGUGAAUCAUCGAACUUUUGAACGCACAUUGCGCCCCCUGGUAUUCCGGGGGGCAUGCCUGUCCGAGCGUCAUUGCUGCCCUCAAGCACGGCUUGUGUGUUGGGCCCCGUCCUCCGAUCCCGGGGGACGGGCCCGAAAGGCAGCGGCGGCACCGCGUCCGGUCCUCGAGCGUAUGGGGCUUUGUCACCCGCUCUGUAGGCCCGGCCGGCGCUUGCCGAUCAACCCAAAUUUUUAUCCAGGUUGACCUCGGAUCAGGUAGGGAUACCCGCUGAACUUAAGCAUAUCAAUAAGCGGAGGA